RNAcentral lists this ribosomal RNA (501 nucleotides) under uncultured bacterium. RNAcentral describes it as "partial 16S ribosomal RNA". It matches the Rfam family "Bacterial small subunit ribosomal RNA", at positions 30 to 523 of the family's 1533-position model. The record is from RNAcentral.
AUUGAACGCUGGCGGCAUGCCUUACACAUGCAAGUCGAACGGCAGCACGUGUGCUUACACCUGGUGGCGAGUGGCGAACGGGUGAGUAAUAUAUCGGAACGUACCUUAUUGUGGGGGAUAACGCAGCGAAAGCUGUGCUAAAACCGCAUAAUCCCUAAGGGGGAAAGCGGGGGACCGUAAGGCCUCGCGCCAUUAGAGCGGCCGAUACCUGAUUAGCUAGUUGGUGAGGUAAAGGCUCACAAAGGCAGCGAUCAGUAGCUGGUCUGAGAGGACGAUCAGCCACACUGGGACUGAGACACGGCCCAGACUCCGACGGGAGGCAGCAGUGGGGAAUUUUGGACAAUGGGGGCAACCCUGAUCCAGCAAUGCCGCGUGAGUGAAGAAGGCCUUCGGGUUGUAAAGCUCUUUUGUCAGGGAAGAAACAGCAGCUCUAACACAGUUUGCGAAUGACGGUACCUGAAGAAUAAGCACCGGCUAACUACGUGCCAGCAGCCGCCGUAA